UUCGUCCUACGGGAGGCAGCAGUGAGGAAUAUUGGUCAAUGGGCGGAAGCCUGAACCAGCCAAGUCGCGUGAGGGAAUAAGGCCCUACGGGUCGUAAACCUCUUUUGCCGGGGAGCAAGGGCGGGGACGUGUCCCGGCCCGGAGAGUACCCGGAGAAAAAGCAUCGGCUAACUCCGUGCCCGCAGCCGCGGUAAUACGGAGGAUGCGAGCGUUAUCCGGAUUUAUUGGGUUUAAAGGGUGCGUAGGCGGGCUUUUAAGUCAGCGGUCAAAAUUCGGGGCCCAACCCCGUCCGGUCGU
RNAcentral lists this ribosomal RNA (297 nucleotides) under uncultured bacterium. RNAcentral's name for it is "partial 16S ribosomal RNA". It matches the Rfam family "Bacterial small subunit ribosomal RNA", at positions 333 to 627 of the family's 1533-position model. The record is from RNAcentral.